Molecule: ribosomal RNA, 440 nt
Filed under: uncultured bacterium
Lineage: Bacteria
Description: partial 16S ribosomal RNA
Rfam family: Bacterial small subunit ribosomal RNA
Source: RNAcentral
CCUACGGGAGGCAGCAGUGGGGAAUAUUGCACAAUGGGGGAAACCCUGAUGCAGCGACGCCGCGUGAAGGAAGAAGUAUUUCGGUAUGUAAACUUCUAUCAGUAGGGAAGAAAGUGACGGUACCUGACUAAGAAGCCCCGGCUAACUACGUGCCAGCAGCCGCGGUAAUACGGAGGGGGCAAGCUUUAUCCGGAUUUACUGGGUGUAAAGGGAGCGUAGGCGGCGAUGCAAGUCAGGAGUGAAGGUCCGGGGCUCAACUCCGGGACUGCUUUUGAAACUGGAUGGCUAGAUUGCAGGAGAGGCAAGUGGAAUUCGUAGUGUAGCGGUGAAAUGCGUAGAUAUUAGGAGGAACACCAGUGGCGAAGGCGGCUUGCUGGACUGUAAAUGACGCUGAGGCUCGAAAGCGUGGGGAGCAAACAGGAUUAGAUACCCCAGUAGUC